CUGAGGUUCCUUUUGUCCCCUCACUUGGGAGUUCCUGGCUUCAGAGAGCUAUGACUGUGUCUGUAAAUAGCCACUGCACUCCAGCCUGGGCAAUAGAGGCAAACCCUACCUCUAAAAAAAUACAUGAAUAAUUUUAAAAGUCAGCCUCUCUGAGUGCUUAUAAAGAAUGCUAGCUAACUGAAUGACAAAACACCUAACGUGAUCCAGGUGCAAAGUUAGGAUUCUCCCCGAACCCUUGCUAGGGCUUUUCAUGGAGUUGUAGAAACGGCAGUAACUGCCAAGGCCCCAGAACCCUCAUUAUAGGGUCUGACUCGUACAUUGCCAGGGACCAGGCGGCUCCCACAGGUGUCCUGAGCUAUCUUUCUCACAGGCCACAUUGAAGCCAUUUAUGAAAUGAGAUUCCCUCUUCCUCAUCCAGAGAGACGGGUCUGGCCUGACCAUGGAGAAAUCAGAUUUGCUAAUAAUCAUGAUAGCUUCCACUCCGCAACUGGCCGCGAUCUGCCAGGCGCUGUGCUAAGCACUUCCACAGGCCUUGUCCCACUCCAUCCUGAUAACACCCCAGCGAAACAGGCUCUGCUGUUCACUCCACUCCACAAAGCCAAGGCUGAGAGAGGUUAACAGACUGAAGUAAGGUCACACAGCUAAAAAGUUGCCAAGCUGGGAUCCAAUCAAGUCUGUGUUUGUGGGUUUAACUAUCAUGUUCUUGGCCCCAACCCCAUUUGGCCUAGCCUGACUGGUGGACCACCUCACGGUAGCUUCCCCUGGAGAAGAGGAAAAGCAAGCCUUCAUUGAGACCCAAGUGGUCUCUCCUGGGAUCUGUGAUAAUAAUAAAGUCCUGGCCCAUGG
Long non-coding RNA from Sapajus apella (tufted capuchin), 846 nucleotides. RefSeq lists it as uncharacterized. NCBI's taxonomy places the organism in Eukaryota, Metazoa, Chordata, Mammalia, Primates, Cebidae. The record is from RefSeq and is a predicted model, not a curated record. The transcript has 3 exons.